Molecule: ribosomal RNA, 250 nt
Filed under: uncultured bacterium
Lineage: Bacteria
Description: partial 16S ribosomal RNA
Rfam family: Bacterial small subunit ribosomal RNA
Source: RNAcentral
UACGUAGGGUCCAAGCAUUAUUCGGAAUUAUUGGGCGUAAAGGGUUUCUAGGUGGUAAAGCGGGUCUUCGGUAAAAUCUCCCGACUCAAUCGGGAAUCGGCCGAAGAAACUACUUUGCUCGAGGAUGGCAGGGGCAUGCGGAAUUUCCGGUGUAGCAGUGAAAUGCGUUGAUAUCGGAAAGAACACCAAUGGCGCAGGCAGCAUGCUAGGCUAUUCCUGACACUGAAGAACGAAAGCGUGGGGAGCGAAC